This 223-nucleotide long non-coding RNA is filed under the name Malus domestica (apple). Its description in RNAcentral is "long non-coding RNA (MDOM_LNC007238)". The record is from RNAcentral. Lineage: Eukaryota; Viridiplantae; Streptophyta; Magnoliopsida; Rosales; Rosaceae.
GAUGAUUUUGGGUUACAAUCUCUCUCUAUUUUGAUCCUCUGAUUCGAUCUCCGUAAGGUGUUGAUUUGUGGAUGUUUCGUUGAUCCAAGGGCCGUCGAGGCUUGAUCUUGGAUGAACUAUUGGAAGUUUCUUCAAAGGGCCGUGGGCUUGAUCUUUGAAGGUGGAUUUGAGCGGAUCUUCAAGGAACCGUUGGGGCUUGAUCUUGAGGAUGAGUGUUUCUUCA